Molecule: non-coding RNA, 28 nt
Filed under: Mus musculus (house mouse)
Lineage: Eukaryota; Metazoa; Chordata; Mammalia; Rodentia; Muridae
Source: RNAcentral
UGUUGGUACUUGGUGUUAUGCAGCUGCC